Gasterosteus aculeatus aculeatus (three-spined stickleback) is the source of this 1902-nucleotide long non-coding RNA. The record is from Ensembl. NCBI's taxonomy places the organism in Eukaryota, Metazoa, Chordata, Actinopteri, Perciformes, Gasterosteidae.
AAGUUCAAAAUGAAAUAGACACCAAAGAACCCCUAUCCAAUGGGAGCCUAAAAUAGUCCUGUGGAAAUGGGCUGGUGACCGGAGGAGGUGUUUAAGCAACCAAAUGCACCUGGAUCAGAGCUGGUAGAAAUGAACAAGACAACAAGCAGCAAGAAAAAAAUAAGAAACGUUUACAUUUUACAUUACAAUUUUGCAUCUAAGUGUGUCUUCCAAACCACAAAGCAUUUCAUUGGUUAUUGAUCCCUAAAUGACUCCCGGUAGAACAGGAUUGGAGGCUUUACAAAAGAGUUUGACAAUGGUUCCUUGUGGUUUCCUGCUUGUUUUAACACUACUUGCUUAGGCUUCCGUAUUUGUUUGUGGGUUACACCCCCUUACGGUUUGACCUGCAACCGGAUCUGUGAGUCGCAGGUAUUGGGAAAGCCCUGGAUUAGACAUUUGAAGGGGUGACACCCUGGGACACAAACAAUUACAUGAAAAUGAUCUCAGCCUACAGGGAUCCAGGUUCUGAAAAAAAGAAACAAUACUGAGCCAUGUAUAUGAAUCUAUGUGGUGUGAUAUUUACCUACAGGCUACUACAUAAACUGUUAUGAAUUGUAUUUCCAUUGUACUGAAAUUAUUGUGGCCAAAUAUUUAAAUUCAACAUGGCCAUAUGUUUUUAACCUAACUCUUUCGUGUUUGGACCACUAUCGAGAUCACUUGAAGACGUACUGCUUUGUCACAUUAUAUGCAAUUUGUUAAUUACAAUUUAAUGAUUUGUAAGUUGUCUCCUCAUCAAUGAUGCAGCCAUGAGAAAAAGGUUCGCGUUGCAGGCCUUCUGUGUGAUAUCUACCUGGCCAACCGUGUCGUGCUCAAGACGCACACAUUUUGGGCACCUUACCAAAUGUGCAUUGUAACAGCACCUGGCACUACAAACUGCUCAAUAGCAAAAUGAGCAAAACAAAUAGACCCGUAAGUCAUGUGGUCACCUUGCCUCACUGCGACACUCCCAUUGUAAAUACUCAUUAACACUCACUCUGCUCAGCCUUUACACUCCCUGCAUGCUCUAUUCCUAAUAAACCUACUUGGGCUAUUUAGUCUAUAUUAUGAUUUUAAGCUGUAUUAUUUUUAUAUUGAAAACAUUUAUGGUACGUCCUGUGAAUUAUGGACACAUAUCACACACUUGGUUCGUAAUCUACAGCCGGCUUCCGGUAUUCCAACAUGUUCAUUGGCCUCAGGCUAUUCGCCAGACGUGUUCAGAUGCUUGAUGCUUUUAACCACUAAUCACGUGCAAAAUGAUGUCGGAUUAAAAGAAGAAAUUGGAGAUAACCCAACUGACUUUACUGGCAUUUUUUUGUUGUUUUUGUCUUCCACUAGCAACAGAUUUAAGUUUAACAUUAUCUGAACAUUCAUCUAUAUAGCAACUUUCUUUUUUUGAAUCAAUGUGGAACCGCAGAUGGACGGAGUGAAACAUGAGAGCUAAUUUCUCUUACUAACAAAGAGGUUGAAUGGUCCCAUAGUGUGAACACCAGCCGGCCUUAAGUCAAUGCCGCUUAGAAAACACGCUGCAACGGAACACGGCAGAUUUGUGGCAGGGAGUGUUUGCAGCCAGAUUUUCAUUGACAUCACGAUAAGUUCCAUUCAUUCUGUGACAGAGAAAGAUAAAAGCCUGAGUCAAUAGUCCUGCCAGUGGAUGUGACAGAUGUACACACGAGUAUAUGGACGCGCUUUGGGCCAAAAUAUCUGGGACAUACUAGAAGAUGUGUGUGUGUUUUACAGUUAGACUCAUUUCAGUCAGCUGUCAUUUCCAGUAAACUCCACUAAGCUGGUAUGUAAAACUUCAUACGCAAUGCUGUAUCAUUUUCCCUCAUUCUAUGUAACACCUUUAAAGCCUAAUAUUGAAUAAAGCUGUGACAAUAACAUUUA